Gigantopelta aegis is the source of this 303-nucleotide long non-coding RNA. RefSeq lists it as uncharacterized. The record is from RefSeq and is a predicted model, not a curated record. The transcript is spliced from 2 exons. Lineage: Eukaryota; Metazoa; Mollusca; Gastropoda; Neomphalida; Peltospiridae.
CACGUGCAGCCGGCCACCCGAGUCGGUCAGUGUUCAGCUUGCACGCGUGUGAGCAAGACGAAGCCGGGAAUGACAAACCGCUCAAAGACUGGUUCCUCGAGAUGGUCAAGAAAGGAAUAAUGAGACAAAAAGAACGGUACAAUUCGGUCAAGAGAACAUCAACUGUCUCGCUGUACAAGCUGCAAGAUUCUCCAUUAUGCCCCGUGUCCGCAUUAGAGAUGAUACAAGGUGUUAAACUGGACAUCCCGAUUGAUACCACUUGCUUUCAUUUUGGAAUAAAAAUGAGAUUAAUUGUGUGACUUA